Brassica rapa (field mustard) is the source of this 8225-nucleotide long non-coding RNA. RefSeq lists it as uncharacterized. Lineage: Eukaryota; Viridiplantae; Streptophyta; Magnoliopsida; Brassicales; Brassicaceae. The record is from RefSeq and is a predicted model, not a curated record.
AAUGUUUAUAUUAAAACACAUCAAAUUCAUAUAUUUACAAAAAAAAUUAAAAAUGCCAAUUUUGAAAAUUUAAGUUGCUAAUUUUUAGAUAAUGUUAUAAAAUUUUGAUUUUAAUUUUAUUUUAGAUUUUUGAUGGUAAAACUCCUCAACUAUAUUUACUUAAUAUAAAAAUCCUAAACUAAAGAUUUACCGAUAGUUAUGGUAAUUAUGACCUACUAGUGUUUAAUUCAUUAAAUAAAAUUAGUUUGGGGUUUUUCCGGUAAAUACUUAGUUUGAGGGUUUUUACCCAAAACAAACUUAUUUGAGGGGCCGGUUUUAACGUUAAAAAUCCUUUAUUUUAAAUAACAUUAUGUAAUUUCAAUUAGACAUAUGAUUUUGGAUAUAUAAUAUCUCGACUGUUUGGUUAUUAUUUAGAUACAUUAUAUACCAUUUACUUGUCCAAUUUAACUAUAAUAUUUUUGUUAUGCAGAUUAAAAUUUUGAUUAAAUUUUUUAUUUUAAUGUAGUUUGAUUCUUAUAUUAGAUUUGAAAAUAUAUUUUAGUAAGAUUAUGUAUAAUUUAAUAGAUGUUGUUUUGAGAAUCAAAUAGUAAAACUAAAGAAUUUAUCGAUUUAAAGUUACAUAAAUAAAUAUAAAAAUAAUAGUCUUUUGAAACCUUUUGUAUAUAUCAAAAUUAUAAAAUAAUUAAUUGUAAUAGUUGGUUAUUAUAUUUAUAAUAUUAUUUGAGAAUUUCAUAUUUAUUUAGUAAAUGUUGAGUUGUUCUAUAAUUUAUAUAAAAUAUUUCUGAAAAUAAUAAUAUAUCAUUCUUAUUUUAUGUUUGAUUUUGUAUAUAUAUUUUUUGGAUUGGUCUAGUUAUUCAUUCUGUGGGCAUAAUAUGUUACAUAUAUUCUUCCAAAUUAAAGUAUAAUUUAAUCUAAUUCAACCAAAUCGAAUCAAUUGUAUUGUAUUAGUUUGGCUCUUCAUCUUAAAUGUGUAAAUCUAUUUUGUUUUUAAUUUGGUAUAUGUUAAAUUGUGAAAUAAAUUGAUGAUAGGUACGAAAAGGUGCAUAAAAACAUAAUCGAUAAAUUUUAAAAAGGAAAGAUUAUUUUUUUACUUUAAUAUCAGGAUCAUUUUUAUAAACUUUCAUUUUUAUUAAAUCACAUUAUAUUGAUAAAAUAUUUAUUUAAAUUUUUUAUUAAUUUUUUUCUUUAUUAUAUAUGUUAUUUGAAAAAUAUAAAAAGAGAACUUAAAUAAAAAAAAGAAAAUAAAAUUUUUAUUCAUUAAAGAUAUCUUAGUUUUUGUUAUUUAAAAAUAUUUUCAAAAAAAAUAGUUAGCCAAUAAUUUAAGUAAUUGAAUUUGGCCAUUUAGCAAUGAUUCAAAUUUGGUCCAUAUAUCAGAAUUACAAUUACAUAUGGAUCAUUUACUUUAAUAUAAUGUAUUAUUUUUUUAUGGAAAUCUAGACUAAAAAAAUAUCAAAUUUGAAUUACACGUUUGUCAAAGAGAAUAUAUUGUAAUAUAAAAAUUUAAGAAGUAUUCCUAUAAAUUAUCUACAUAAAUUAUAUUUGGUUAGAUAAUGCCUAUAUAUAUAUAUAUAUAUAUAUAUAUAUAUAUAGUCAUGAUUAAUAGGAAGAUAUUCAUUAAACUUAAGAAUAUAGCAUAUAAUAUUUUUCGAAUUUGAGGACUGUUUAACCCGAGUAAAAGGAGGCAAAUUGAUUUUUGAUGAAUAUUGUGAAUUGUCUUGCUUAAUGAUUACUAGAGGUUCGCCGGUGCUACGCGCCGGGUUUGGGAUUUUUUUUCCUAUUUCAAAUUGGUAUCAUUGUGUUCUUUUAUUUUGUUGUUAUGAGUGAGUGUAGCCAGGGUUGUGUUUAUUUUAAAUAUUGGAUAUUUUGCAUGAUGUUUGUAUUUUUGUAUUACGGUAAGUACGGUGAGUUUGGCUUGUGACUUAAGUAAUUCGCAGAGAGUUAUUUGGAAACGUUAUAAACAGUCAUAUUUCAUUGCAUUGGAACUAAAUAUAUUUUUCUCCUGGAACGUGGACAACAUUCAAGGUUUUUUUUGCUUUGACUAACCUCCAAAAGAAAACCAAAUUUCACCUGCAAAUACCACUUACCUCCAGCCUCUACCUACUUCUAUCAGGUGCUUCUCGACAGAAAAAUGAAUAGAAAGGUUGUUGAAGCCCAUCAUCAUCGUGUAGAAAUCGGUGAGUAAAAAGAAGUGGAAACACUUUGAGCAGACCGUGUUCGCCGUUCCGUCUCCAGGAUGGCAGUUCAGCUCUGGCCACAUUUUCAGAACCGAGCUCUUAUAUAUAUAUCCCUCAUCUGAAGAAGUGGACGUUCCAGAGCCCUCUUGAAAUUUAUCAUUCAAUCCUCAACCAACGAAAUACCUUUCUCUUCCGUGAGGUUGUUGAUGAUUUUGAUUCCUUUGUCUGUCUCGCCGAUGGCCAUGAGGAGAACACCAAAAAUGUAUCUUCCUUGUAGGUGACCACUCUUUGAUGCUAUGUGGAUGUGAUGUAGACCUAGGACUUGAUUUUGAGAUUGGAAGAAUUGAAUCAUACCUUUUACAAAGUGAGCAUCAGUAUUGUCUGCUUUAAGGCAGGCGUCCAUUAAUGAUUCGUACUGAUUGGAUAGGAGUGGCUUCUUAACAAAAGGCGAGAGGUUGAGAUCUUUGGCAACAGAGGGGUUGUCUGGACGAAAGCUUAGGCUUCUGCAUGUCAGUACCGUAUUGAAGUAGUCGACGUGGGAGUUUUGGCCUACUUUCGAAACUAUUAGAAGACGCAUGUCUUCAGGCAUGGCCUCAAGGGUCUGCAUGAUACUUUGUUUCGGAUUGAUGGAACUCAUGAAAAUAUCCUCUGUCUGUGUAUUUUUGCUUUUGAUGUUAUAUUUUAGUUUUUUCUUUGCUUCUCUUUGUUUAUAUAGGGCCGAGGAUGGUGCUUCGUGUUUGUUUUCCUUAGAAAGUGGAUUGAUACGUUUUGCAAUUGUUUUCGUAUAUUUAUUGUAACCCAUAAUUGGACGGUUUAAUUUUUUCCUCUGGAUUUUCAACAUUUAUGUAAUUACGUUACAUGUGUGUCAAUGGCUCAUUCGCAACGGCCAGACAACUUUUUAUUCUUAGAUUGAAAGAUAUUUGUUAUGAAUAUGAAUGGUUAAUAUUUCUUAUCCAUUGUAAAAGUUUUUGUUUGGUUAUUUUUAGUUUUGUUUGGUAAACCUAAGAUAUUUUUUUAUGAUGUUGUUAUGGUAUAGAGUUUUCUAUGUUUUAGUAUUUCAUUUUGGAAGUUCGUAUUAAUAUUAUUUUUUAGUCUUCGGAUUUGUCAUAGCUUGAUGUGUGUGUUACGGUAUUGAUCACAGGUUUUAACAAAACGAUGGGCCUUCCCGAAAUCUCCAAAGGCCCAGACGAAUCAGAUAAAGCUUGCGACAUCGUUUAAAGCAGGGUGACGUGUCACAAAAUGCCCCUCCCUCUAUGCUGAUGUGGCAGCAGGAGGUGAGAGAAAACCCUGUUUUAUAUAUAUAGAUAUUAUGGUUUGUUAAGUUGACCGAACUAUUGAAUUGACAUGGUUAAUUUGUUAAAGUUGUUAAAGCCGGUGGUUUAUUGAAGAUGGUAUAGACGUAACGUUUGGUUAAUUGUUAAAAUUAAAUUUGGAUGGUUUGAUUUAAGUGUUAAACAUGGUUUAGGCUAGUGGCAUAGACUUGUAAUAUUUAAGGAUAAUUGAGGGUUAAUUUCUAUUUGUACUUUAGUUUUAAUAGAUUAGAUACUAUGUUGUUUAAAAUUAUCUUUUAAAACAAAAGAUUAUUUCUUUACUUCAAAAUCAAGAUUAUUUUGUGAACUUUCCUUUUUAUUAAUCACAUUAUAUAUAAAAGAUACUUUAAGUUAUUAAAGUCUAUAAUUUUCCUUAUUAUAUAGAUUAUUUGAAAAAUAAAAUAAAGAGAAACGAAACAUAAACAUAAAAGGAAAAAAUAAAAUGCAAUAUUUAAUAAUGAUAAUUAAUAUAUUGGAUUCAUUACGGGUACUGUUGUAAUUAACCAUUGUAAGAAUAAAUUAAUAUGAGUCCGGUAUGUAUGAAACUGACUUCUUAAAUAAUAUUAUAAAAAUAUGAAAGAAAUGGGAGUUUAAGAACACUUUUUUAGACAACAUGAGACGAAUAUGAGAGUAAAUCAAAAUCUCUACUUUUGUUAUAUUAGAAAAAGGAAAACUACAUCAUCAAACUGAGUUUAGAACUGAAGAAGUGGAUGCUAACAUGUGUUCAUGACCAGCUGUGGUUGCAAUUUCUCAUCAAUUUUGAUUGAAGACUUUGAAGUGUCAAAUGCACUCGAUUUUUUCUAAACAAUAUCUUUCCUCAAUGUAUAAUAAACCCUAAAAAGAUAUAUAUAAAAAAAAAGAAUAUGAAAUCAGUACCAGACUAUAGCUUUAUAACAUUCACCACAAAAAAAACAUCAUUUAGGGUAUUUUUUAAACUUACAAUUAAAUAGUUGAGAUGAUGCAUCAGAUGAUGAUGUAAUGCAAAGACUUAAAACUACAUAAAGAAAAACAUAUUAAUAAUGUGGAAAAGCAAAGAAGAGUAACAACAUAGAAAACUGACUACAAAUUGAGAAAAAUACUUGGAUAUGAAUGAAACUUCACGCUUGUUAGAGAAAUCUUAGUAUUGCGUAUAUCGCAAAGGAACAUGAACCAUCUUUAUAACUACACAAAUUUGGCAUUGACCAUUCGUUACCAAAAUGCAUGAAAAUUUAACAAAUCAUAUUCAUAAUUCAAUAAAAUACCUCUAACUACAACCAAUAUAAAUAUCAUGUAUAACUAAUCUAGUAGGUCUUCAACUAUAAAAAGGUUCAUGUGAUAAAAUGCGUAGAUUGGAGCCAAAAAAAAUCAGUUUCUUAGAUCUAGAUCGAGAGUUCGAGUCAAAAGCUUUGCGGUGAAGUGUGUAUGUAAUUUAUUUUUCUCAUUAUCACUUUUUAUAGUAAAAAUGUAAAUGUUAUUUUUCACUUUUCAAGUUCUAUGUUAUUUUUUAAUUUACAUUUAAUAAACUUUGUAUCAAUUUAUCAGAUAAAUGACAUUAGCAUUCAUUGGAAAUACAAAGCUCAAUUCAUUUUGGAUAUAUACGAAUGGUAUUAUUCCAAUGGCAAACUAAAAUAUAUGAGUAAAGUCAUGGUUAGCAGUUGUUAAUUUUUGUUUUUUGUUUUCAUGAAUGAAAAUAUGUUUGACAAAAUCGUAAGGUAUGUUAUAUCAUUACAUAAAAAUAAAUUUAAGUAGAUAUCAAGAAAACAUAUGCAAAAGCUUUAAUAUGUAUUGUUCUUUCAAAGAAACUGAAAGGAAUGAUCUUCCUGAUCAAAAUGAAUGACAAGAGUGACAAUUACCAUUUGAAGAUCUUGUUUUGUUGGCAGUACUUGGUAUUAAAGUAUGAAAAUAUUGUUAUUUUAUCUUUUACAUAAUCUUGUAAUAUUGUUACAUAUGUUGAUUAUAAUAUCUUAAUAUCUUAUUGUAAAUAUAUUUUUGUAGACGCUGCCAUGUAUGCUAGCUAGAGAUGAUCAUGGACUCAUAAUGUAGAUAUUUCAAUUGUUGAUUAUUACUUAUUCUUCAAUUUUGCGACAAUGUUUGAUGACAAUUUUCCCGAGAUUAUUCUAUAAAGUCGAAUCGACUAGAGGUCUCAACGUCUGAGAAAAAAAGAAGUGAGAUGUUUGACACUUGACAGUUCAUAGUUAGUGCAUACCAAAUAAGUUUACAAUUUUGAUGAAAAAUGUGGUAGUUUUAUAUUUGUUCUUAAGAAGUAACAUUUGCAAUUUAUUUCAUUGAUACCUAUUAUGUUUACUUUUAAGAAGCAAAUUUUAAUAAAAUUUGAUAGAAUCUGUGUAUUUUUUGUGCUGAUUUCAGAUAGACCAUAUGAUUAUACACAAGCAAAACUAGACUGAUAAAUCAAUUUCAGUAGAAGAUCAAAGACUUUAUAGUAAGAUGAUUCCAUUCUUUUAAAUCAUUUUAUUAUUGUUUUCACUUAAAAAUAUUAUUGUGAUCAAAAGUUUAGAAAAUUAUUGGACUGUGACAUAUCCUGCAAAUAUAAGUGAUGUAUGUUCCAUUAAUGAAAUUGAUGUGGAGUACACAUGGGAUUCGAGACAAUUUCUUAUAGACUUUGUCGAUUCUACCAAGGCAAUAGAAGUUUCUAGAUAUAAUGAAGGGCUGCAUUACUGUUAUGGAUAUUCAUCUUUUAUAGGUUUGGAAUUCAUGAUGAACAAUGGAAUUCUACCAUAAUCUGAUUGGACUGGUACUGCGUACUGGUUGCGGCAAAGAUUUUAUCGCUCGGAGUCUUGUGAUGUCAGAGUUAGACAUGUUUUGAAUGAUGUCUGAGCAUUCACAGAUGUCAACAUAGCAGUUGAGUAUUUGGAAGUUCAACCUAUAUUAAAAUCAAUUGACGUAUUUAGAAUGGGUUUAUCUGAUAUUGAACAUGUAAGUGAUUAUGUUUAGUAAUAUUUUGUGUUAUCUUUUGUUUUAUAUUAGAAACUUUUUAAGCAACUAUGUUUAGUAAUUAUUCCAAUGGCAAACCAAAACAUAUGAGUAAAAUCAUGGUUAGCAAUUGUUGAUAUUUUUUGUUUCAUGAAUGAAAAUAUGUUUGAGAACAAAGUUAUGUCAUUAUAGAAACAAAAAUUUGAGAAGAUAUUAAUAAAAUAGAUACAAAAGCUUUAAUAUGUAUUGUUAUUUCCAGAUCAAAAUGAAAAGAAAGAAUAGCAAUUACUAUUUGAAGAUCUUGUUUUGUUGACAUAUUUUGGUAUUAAAGUAUGAAGAGUAUUGUGACUUUAUCUUUUACAUAAUUUUAUAAUAUUGUUAUGUUGAUUAUAACAUAUUUUUGUUAAUAUAUUUUUUUAGAAUCUAUUCUUCCUAGCUAGAGAUGCUCGUAAAAGCAAAAAUGUAGAUAUGUUAAUUGUUGUAUAUCUCAAUUGUUAUAUAUGUUUUGUUCUUUUAAGCAAGAUCCAAUGUUUUCAUCACAAGUUGACUUAGAUCUCGAUGAUUAAAUUGAUGAUCUUAGUUUUGUUUAUUUGGUUGAUAUUUGGUAAGUUGAAAUGCACUUUAGUCUAUCAACUUCAAAAGUAAUUAUAGUUUAUAAUGUUCUAUGUUUAGUUGUUGUUCAAUAAUAUCAAAUGUUUAUUAUGUUGUUAUGGAGUUUUAAUGUUUUUGACUUUCUCUUAUAAUGUGGGAUAUAUAAGAGUUUGAAUAAAUUUUGGGAUAUGGAGGGGAGCAAGGAUGAUGAAAUUUGGAAUGAAGCGGCACCACAAGUUGAGGAUUUAAUCUUCUAUUUUUUCUUGAUUCGAUCUUAUUCAGCUAAAUUUUCAUUGAUAAUCGAUUUUUUUCUGGUGAUGGAUAUGUCUUUCUUUUUUUGACUUCCUUUUGUUACAUUUCAUGUCUGUUUAGUUUUGUAUUAAUUUUAUUUUAUAAAUAAUUUUAUGCCACAAAUCUUUAUAAGUUUUCAUUAGUCUACUGUUAAACAUUUAUGCAAGCUAUAUUUAAGAUUCUCAUUGAUCAUAUCAAUUUUUCUUAAUGUUUCCUUUUCCUAAAGGAGAACCAUUUUUUUCUUUUUUUCCAGUUUCAAUUUUUUUUGGAAUGGCUCUGAAUAUCAGUUCUUCUAUUUUUUUUUUUGACAACUGAUAUAUUAUAUAUAAAAAUAUGUUUGUCUCUCUCCUAAGCUAUCCACGUGGAAAGUCACUAUCUGACAGGCCGACAUGUGUCCGUGAAUUUUAUUUCUUUGGCAGGACUUGAGUUUAACUUUGGGCUUAUACUAUGAACAAUUGACAGGCUUUUUACUCUUUAAUAUCAUUGAAUGUGAUAAUUAUUUCUUAAUACAUAGUAGAUAAAACAAAAAAAACACGAAUUACGAUAUGGACGUUAUAUUAUCAUGAAAGCAAUCUUUACCAUAUGUAUCUCAUCCUGUAAUAAUUUAUAAAGUAGCAACGAAUCUAUGAGUUCAACAAAUUUGCAACUACCUACUUCAUAAUUUUAAGUAUAUAAGUGUGUUGAAUAUUAUAUUAUAUGAUUUAAAAGCCUUUAUAAAUUUUUAUUUUUAAACAUACACCAUAAAUUUUAUGAAAGUAAAUAUCCAUUCAGGUUCUCAACCACUUCAAAUACCACCAACGCCAAAAAAAUUUAAUCAAGUGCACGAAAAUUAAAAUAUAUUUAAAACAAUAAAUACAUUAGUUAAUGAAAAAUCCUUUUCAAAAAUUAUUAUGGAUGCAUACAUAAAUAUUAAGAGAAAUGUAUACAAGGAAAUAAAAGUAACAAUAAC